CGGCGAGUGAAGCGGCAACAGCUCAAAUUUGAAAUCUGGCCCUUGGGUCCGAAUUGUAAUUUGUAGAGGAUGUUUUUGGUGCGGUAUCUUCCGAGUUCCUUGGAACAGGACGCCUUAGAGGGUGAGAGCCCCGUACGGUUGAAUGCCUAGCCUUUGUAAAACUCCUUCGACGAGUCGAGUAGUUUGGGAAUGCUGCUCUAAAUGGGAGGUAAAUUUCUUCUAAAGCUAAAUACCGGCCAGAGACCGAUAGCGCACAAGUAGAGUGAUCGAAAGAUGAAAAGCACUUUGAAAAGAGGGUUAAAUAGCACGUGAAAUUGUUGAAAGGGAAGGAUUUAUGACCAGACUUUUUCUGGGCGAAUCAUCCGGUGUUCUCACCGGUGCACUUCGUUCAGUUCAGGCCAGCAUCGAUUUUCGGGGCGGGAUAAAAGCUUUAGGAAUGUGGCUCCCUCGGGAGUGUUAUAGCCUAUUGUAUAAUACCGCCCUGGGGAUCGAGGUACGCGCUUCUGCAAGGAUGCUGGCGUAAUGGUUAUCAAUCACCCGUCUUGAAACACGGACCAAGGAGUCGAACAUUUGUGCAAGUGUUUGGGUGUUAAACCCUCACGCGUAAUGAAAGUGAACGGAGGUGAGAGCCCUUUACGGGGUGCAUCAUCGACCGAUCCUGAUGUCUUCGGAUGGAUUUGAGUAAGAGCAUAAAUGUUCGGACCCGAAAGAUGGUGAACUAUGCGUGGAUAGGGUGAAGCCAGAGGAAACUCUGGUGGAGGCUCGCAGCGGUUCUGACGUGCAGAUCGAUCGUCAAAUCUGCGCAUGGGGGCGAGAGAC
This 819-nucleotide ribosomal RNA is filed under the name Seimatosporium corni. Its description in RNAcentral is "eukaryotic LSU rRNA". It matches the Rfam family "Eukaryotic large subunit ribosomal RNA", at positions 87 to 931 of the family's 3401-position model. The record is from RNAcentral. Lineage: Eukaryota; Fungi; Ascomycota; Sordariomycetes; Amphisphaeriales; Sporocadaceae.